This 260-nucleotide ribosomal RNA is filed under the name uncultured archaeon. Its description in RNAcentral is "partial 16S ribosomal RNA". It matches the Rfam family "Archaeal small subunit ribosomal RNA", at positions 748 to 1008 of the family's 1478-position model. The record is from RNAcentral.
CAGCCGUAAACUAUGCGCGUUAGGUGUACUGGUGACCACGAGUCACCGGGUGCCGAAGGGAAACCGUGAAACGUGCCGCCUGGGAAGUACGGUCGCAAGGCUGAAACUUAAAGGAAUUUGCGGGGGAGCACCACAACGGGUGGAGCCUGCGGUUUAAUUGGACUCAACGCCGGAAAUCUCACCGGAUAGGACAGACAUAUGAUAGUCGGGCUGAAGACUCUACUUGAUGAUCUGAGAGGAGGUGCAUGGCGUCAGUGACU